GUUGCUAUGUUCUGGCUACUUUCAUUUCAACGAUACAGAGAAAUUUAGCAUGGUCCUUGGACAAAGAUGACCCUAAUAUCACCUUUGAGUGCACAAAAUGUUU
RNAcentral lists this small nuclear RNA (103 nucleotides) under Trichomonas vaginalis G3. The record is from RNAcentral. Lineage: Eukaryota; Parabasalia; Trichomonadida; Trichomonadidae.